Molecule: ribosomal RNA, 453 nt
Filed under: uncultured bacterium
Lineage: Bacteria
Description: bacterial SSU rRNA
Rfam family: Bacterial small subunit ribosomal RNA
Source: RNAcentral
UACGGGAGGCAGCAGUGGGGAAUAUUGCACAAUGGGCGCAAGCCUGAUGCAGCCAUGCCGCGUGUAUGAAGAAGGCCUUCGGGUUGUAAAGUACUUUCAGUCGUGAGGAAGGUGUUAAGGUUAAUAACCUUAGCAAUUGACGUUAGCGACAGAAGAAGCACCGGCUAACUCCGUGCCAGCAGCCGCGGUAAUACGGAGGGCGCGAGCGUUAAUCGGAAUUACUGGGCGUAAAGGGCACGCAGGCGGUUAAUUAAGUUGGAUGUGAAAUCCCCGGGCUUAACCUGGGAAUGGCAUUCAAGACUGGUUAGCUAGAGUCUUGUAGAGGGGGUAGAAUUCCAUGUGUAGCGGUGAAAUGCGUAGAGAUGUGGAGGAAUACCGGUGGCGAAGGCGGCCCCUGGGACAAAGACUGACGCUCAUGUGCGAAAGCGUGGGGAGCAAACAGGAUUAGAUACC